This 917-nucleotide long non-coding RNA is filed under the name Capra hircus (goat). The record is from RNAcentral. Lineage: Eukaryota; Metazoa; Chordata; Mammalia; Artiodactyla; Bovidae.
GCCAGCUCAUGCCAGUGUAAUUGGUGGUACUUGAGGAGAGGUUUUCUAGGUCUCCGUUUCUUUCAUGAGGAUGAAACACACCUGGUUAACCUUUUUUCCAGUAUCAGAUCCCACCUUGGAGGCCUUCUGGUCCAGACCUCAGCCUGUGGGAUGGGGUGCUGUGGACACGAAUAACUUGUUGCCCACAAGCCUGCCCUGUAUUUCUGAUUUUAGUUACCUAUUCCACUAACCAUCAGUAUCUUAUCCAUUCUCAGGAGUACUUCCCGAAGGAAUGCCCACCUAGAGGAAGACCAUGGUCCCCAAGAUAGCUCCAUGCCUGAAACACGCAGGGAGCAGUGCUGCUGUCCAGGAAGAAGCUGUGUGUCUGGAGGUGGCUCUUUUCUGCGAUCCUCAAGGAGAGGUUUCCUUCGUACACUCCAUCUUUUAUGACAAAUUACUCACACCAAAGGGCUUCCCAGCGGCUCAGCUGAUACUGAACCCACCUUCCAAUGCAGGAGAUACGCGAGAUGCAGGUUCCAUCCCCGAGUCAAGAAGAUCCCCCGGAGAUGGAAAUGGCAAGCUGCUCCAGUGGACAGAGGAGCCUGGCAGGCUGCAGCCCAUGGGGUCGCAAAGAGUUGGACAUGACUGAGCAUGCACACAUCAGGAGGCAUCCGCACCAACCUCUCUUCAGUGUCAAAUACCAGCUUGGAAGAUGUCCUGAACGACACGGAAGUUGUCAGCUCAAGUCCAGGGUGAAUGAGCCCACACAUCUGUUUUCUUGCUCUGCAUGGUGUAUCUGAUGCUGAUGCUCCUUUCGUAUCCUUUCCAGUAGGACUCCAUGGAGGUGAAGCCAGCCUUUGGGGAAGGAAGUGGUUCUUGGUCGGCUCUGGGUCACAGAGGUAGGUCUUCUGCCUUGUGUUUGUUUCAAUGGCAGUAGG